Molecule: long non-coding RNA, 272 nt
Filed under: Salvia miltiorrhiza (redroot sage)
Lineage: Eukaryota; Viridiplantae; Streptophyta; Magnoliopsida; Lamiales; Lamiaceae
Description: long non-coding RNA (SMIL_LNC002700)
Source: RNAcentral
AGAACAUCCAUGGAGGCGGAGAAACUAAUAUGGAAAAAAUUAAAGAUCUUCCUCAACAAAUCUGCAAAAAAAAUAUAUAAUAUAUCUUUUUUUAGAAACUUGAGCAAAAACAAAAGUGAGGGAUGUAAAACGAGGGAGAAAGGGAAGAUGCAGACAAGGAAGAAGGCUGGUGCUGGAAUUGAAAAGAUGUUCAACUCAUCUUUAUUGAAAAAAAGUUAAUUUAAUAAUACCUAUUCGUGUAUAAACUGGCAGAUCUACAUGAAAAAACUUAU